GAUGAACGCUAGCUACAGGCUUAACACAUGCAAGUCGAGGGGCAGCGGGAUUGAAGCUUGCUUCAAUCGCCGGCGACCGGCGCACGGGUGAGUAACGCGUAUCCAACCUUCCGUACACUCAGGGAUAGCCUUUCGAAAGAAAGAUUAAUACCUGAUGGUAUGAUGAGAUUGCAUGAUAGCAUCAUUAAAGAUUUAUCGGUGUACGAUGGGGAUGCGUUCCAUUAGGUAGUAGGCGGGGUAACGGCCCACCUAGCCAACGAUGGAUAGGGGUUCUGAGAGGAAGGUCCCCCACAUUGGAACUGAGACACGGUCCAAACUCCUACGGGAGGCAGCAGUGAGGAAUAUUGGUCAAUGGACGAGAGUCUGAACCAGCCAAGUAGCGUGAAGGAUGACUGCCCUAUGGGUUGUAAACUUCUUUUUANAAAGGAAUAAAGUCGGGUAUGGAUACCCGUUUGCAUGUACUUUAUGAAUAAGGAUCGGCUAACUCCGUGCCAGCAGCCG
RNAcentral lists this ribosomal RNA (501 nucleotides) under uncultured bacterium. RNAcentral describes it as "bacterial SSU rRNA". It matches the Rfam family "Bacterial small subunit ribosomal RNA", at positions 28 to 517 of the family's 1533-position model. The record is from RNAcentral.